CAGGACGAGCCGACAGGACGUCGGCGAGAGGGAAGCGCCGCGCCAUGGAGGGCGCGUCGCGAGUGGUCCGUCAGGAA
Erwinia sp. is the source of this 77-nucleotide regulatory RNA element. The record is from Rfam. Lineage: Bacteria; Pseudomonadati; Pseudomonadota; Gammaproteobacteria; Enterobacterales; Erwiniaceae.